This is a transfer RNA of Micromonas sp., 74 nucleotides long. It matches the Rfam family "tRNA". From Rfam's summary of the family: Transfer RNA (tRNA) molecules are approximately 80 nucleotides in length. Their secondary structure includes four short double-helical elements and three loops (D, anti-codon, and T loops). The record is from Rfam. Lineage: Eukaryota; Viridiplantae; Chlorophyta; Mamiellophyceae; Mamiellales; Mamiellaceae.
GGGCUAUUAGCUCAGGUGGUUAGAGCGCACCCCUGAUAAGGGUGAGGUCUCAGGUUCAAGUCCUGAAUAGCCCA